Molecule: ribosomal RNA, 253 nt
Filed under: uncultured bacterium
Lineage: Bacteria
Description: partial 16S ribosomal RNA
Rfam family: Bacterial small subunit ribosomal RNA
Source: RNAcentral
GACAGAGGGUGCAAACGUUGUUCGGAAUUACUGGGCGUAAAGCGCGUGUAGGCGGCUUUGCAAGUCGGGCGUGAAAUCCCAUGGCUCAACCAUGGAAGUGCACUCGAAACUGCAGAGCUAGAGUCCUGGAGAGGAAGGUGGAAUGCUUGGUGUAGAGGUGAAAUGCUUAGAUAUCGUCAAGAACACCUAUAGCGAAGGCAGCUUACUAGGCUGUAACUGACGCUGAGGCACGAAAGUGUGGGGAUCAAACAGG